This 440-nucleotide ribosomal RNA is filed under the name uncultured bacterium. RNAcentral's name for it is "bacterial SSU rRNA". It matches the Rfam family "Bacterial small subunit ribosomal RNA", at positions 368 to 793 of the family's 1533-position model. The record is from RNAcentral.
ACAAUGGGCGCAAGCCUGAUGCAGCCAUGGCCGCGUGUAUGAAGAAGGCCUUCGGGUUGUAAAGUACUUUCAGCAGUGAGGAAGGUGGGUAUGUUAAAUUAGCCAUACUCAUUUGACGUUAGCUGCAGAAGAAGCACCGGCUAACUCCGUCGCCAGCAGCCGCGGUAAUACGGAGGGUGCGAGCGUUAAUCGGAAUUACUGGGCGUAAAGCGCAUGCAGGUGGUUUGUUAAGUCAGAUGUGAAAGCCCGGGGCUCAACCUCGGAAUUGCAUUUGAAACUGGCAAACUAGAGUACUGUAGAGGGGGUAGAAUUUCAGGUGUAGCGGUGAAAAUGCGUAGAGAUCUGAAGGAAUACCGGUGGCGAAGGCGGCCCCCUGGACAGAUACUGACACUCAGAUGCGAAAGCGUGGGGACGCAAACAGGAUUAGACUACCCUGGUAG